CUUGGUGUUGCUAGCAUAGAUUUGUAAAUAUAAUAUACACAUAUAUUUUAUGCUCAUAAAGAGAGAAAUGGCAUGCUAUUUUGAUUCAUGUGUUUUAUAUGUGAAGUUUAUAUUUGGUUAUUAUGAUUUAGUUUACUUUAGCCCCAAAUUAAUAUUGUCAUUAUUUACUCACCCUUAUGUCAGAUAGUAGCAAAAAGUAAAAUUUCAGUUUGCUCUUCACAAAAAGCUCCAAGACUUAAAUAAGCAGAAUUAAAUAAGAAAUACAGUGCAUGAGACAUACUACAUUUAAAGUGUUUUUAUGCUCAGCAGAUCCUGCAAAAAUAUCUUCUUUCAACAAAGAACAUAAUGGCACAUGCAUUUGGAAGAACGAGAGGAUCCAUUGGCUGGGAUCUCUACGGCGGAAUGCUGCUGGGACCCCCUUCUAACCUCCCCCCAACCCUCCCCUUGAGUGCACCCACCCAUUAGGAAUUCCAGCAGGGCAUUGUGGGUGGGAUGAAUGGGGUCAGAGCCAAGGAAUGAAGCUACGGUGAAUCCAAAGUGCCAUGCCGAGAAAUCAGGUGGACAGUGGCUAAUGAGAAUCACUGGUCACGUGAUCCGCAGGGAUGGCCCAUACUGCACCGGAGACACCCAGGCAGGUGUUAGGAGUCACGUUGCUAUGGAAACUGAGAGAUGACACCUCCAGAGUUCUGUCAGUGCAGGAUUAGCCUCAUGCGGGCGCUAACAAACCAACAGCAUCUCGACACAAAUUAGACUGGAAUGAUCCAGCCCCCUCUGACGCCAGCAAAGGAGAAGAACAUGCACAUGUUUACAUUCCAGGCGUUUGAUUACGUCUUAUCAGUACAAGAUAACACUGAAGUUCAUGGUAUAGUUGCAGCAGGGCUGCCUUGUAGAAAUUUAAAAAUAUAGUAGGGCUGUCAGUUUAACACAUUUAUUUAUAAUUAAUUAUUUAUGGAAAAAUAAUGCAAUUAAAAUAUUUUGACGCAAUUAACGGACCUGCCCCACCCCAAAACUGCAAGUCAUCUUACAUUCCAUUCAGUUGACUGUUGACAAACAUGAUGCAGGGCAACAACUAUUUAGUCCAUAAAUGUAGUUAUGUGCCCCUGAAAUUCAAGGUAUUGAAAAAAUGCCGCUGUACGAGUUCUUGUCUCAUAUUUAUAUCGAUCACAUG
Long non-coding RNA from Cyprinus carpio (common carp), 1168 nucleotides. The record is from Ensembl. Lineage: Eukaryota; Metazoa; Chordata; Actinopteri; Cypriniformes; Cyprinidae.